UACGUAGGGUGCGAGCGUUGUCCGGAAUUAUUGGGCGUAAAGAGCUCGUAGGCGGUCUGUCGCGUCGGUCGUGAAAACUUGGGGCUUAACCCCGAGCUUGCGGUCGAUACGGGCAUGACUGGAGUUCGGCAGGGGAGACUGGAAUUCCUGGUGUAGCGGUGAAAUGCGCAGAUAUCAGGAGGAACACCGGUGGCGAAGGCGGGUCUCUGGCCCGAUACUGACGCUGAGGCACGAAAGCGUGGGGAGCAAACAGG
Molecule: ribosomal RNA, 254 nt
Filed under: uncultured bacterium
Lineage: Bacteria
Description: partial 16S ribosomal RNA
Rfam family: Bacterial small subunit ribosomal RNA
Source: RNAcentral